GGGGACGUAAUGGAAUCGACAGGAAUGACUUUCGAUUAGUAAGCAUGCCGGAGCAACAUUGCUCACUCCGUUAAAAAAUGGGAAUGAACAUUUUAUAUGGCAACACAAAUUAUGCCAUUGCUGCCUAAUUCUAGGAAUUAGAAGCAUUUAUGCCUCUUGCUUGAUGCCUAAUACACAGCAGGACCGCAUAUCAACAACUUGUAGGCUGGCUGAAAGGAGUAUCUCCUCCGGACAGUAAGAUUUCAGAGGUUAAGGUAGAAGGUGGUUGGUUUGCAUACCUUCCUUUUACUCGAAAAUUCAAGUGUAAACUAAGCAUGUAGAAAGCUCUUUGAUGCUUUCGCUGGACGCGAGUUCGACUCUCGCCGUCUCCACA
Molecule: transfer-messenger RNA, 373 nt
Filed under: marine eukaryotic metagenome
Rfam family: transfer-messenger RNA
About the family: Bacterial tmRNA, also known as 10Sa RNA or SsrA, is named for its dual tRNA and mRNA-like properties. Its role is to liberate the mRNA from a stalled ribosome. To accomplish this part of the tmRNA is used as a reading frame that ends in a translation stop signal.
Source: RNAcentral